This 74-nucleotide transfer RNA is filed under the name Planctomycetota bacterium. Its description in RNAcentral is "Planctomycetes bacterium tRNA-Trp". It matches the Rfam family "tRNA". Rfam says of the family: Transfer RNA (tRNA) molecules are approximately 80 nucleotides in length. The record is from RNAcentral. Lineage: Bacteria; Pseudomonadati; Planctomycetota.
AGGAGCGUAGCUCAAUUUGGCAGAGCAACGGUUUCCAAAACCGUAGGCUGGGGGUUCGAGUCCCUCCGCUCCUG